Molecule: non-coding RNA, 2500 nt
Organism: Cinara cedri
Lineage: Eukaryota; Metazoa; Arthropoda; Insecta; Hemiptera; Aphididae
Source: the annotation of a GenBank genome assembly
AUGGACGCAUAGCUAAAAUUAAAUGACCACAUUAUCCCAAUCCAAUCUCAGUAGUCAGUACCGUACUACCGCACUACCGCAGUAUCUAAGUUAUUUAUCCAUUAGUUAAAAUUAUUCAAAGCUAAAGGUAUAAAAGUUGUCUUCAUUACUUUAAACAAAAUUAAAAUAAAUAUAAUGGCUGAGUCGAUUUCCCAAAAGACCGACAGAGAGCUUUGUCAAAUAAUUGCAACUUCUAUCUCAAACAUUGUCAGCGACAGCCUAAAUCCGUCAUUUAGACAAAACUAUUUCGAUAUCAUACAGGUAUAAUAAUUAGGAAUUAUAAAUAUUAAAAUUACUAUAUAUGAUUAUGUAAUAUGUACACAUACAAAAUUAUAUCUACCCAGUACCUUUACAAAAUGUUAGUUAAACCAUAUACAUAUCUACGGUGGCAGCCUAGGGUGCUUGCACUGCCCCUGUAAUUGUUGACACCAGUUAACCGAAUUGUAUGUCUAGUUACUUACAACUUAUAUUAAAAAAAAGUUUUCUUAUAUUAAUUUUUUAUAAUAAACAAUUGUUUAUUUUAUUAUAAUAACAAAAUAUCAUUCUCUAUUCUCUAUUGUCUAUCAUUUUUAUUAGUUUAUAUUUUAACAUACCAUAUAUUUUAUUAAUUACUUAUAUGGCGGUAUAAUCCAUAUCUGUACAUGAAUAAUAUUUCUGUAGUUAAAUUUAAAGGUACUGAAAAUACUGUUCAUUAUAAAUUGUAAAUAGAUGAUACAGACUUUCUUUAAUUUUAUAAAUAUUUUAUUAGGGGGGGAUUAACCUUCCCUCCUAGAGGAUUUUUUCAGUUCAUUAAGUAGCGCCGGUCAUUAACUAGGCUGCCGCUGUAGAUGAAGUCUAGUCACACCUAUGAAUUAAACAUGUUUUAUAUAUUUAUAAAACAUGGUACUAUACUAUUGGUACUAUCUAUAUACCUAGGUACCUACUUAUGUUAUUUAAUUAUUUUUUUUUUUACAAUCUUAGAUUGGUUCAAUAACUGAUGGACUUCCACUCGUCCCUAUCCAUCACCGCUAUUUUUAAUUCUUUAUAAUUGAUUUUUCCAUGUCUUCUAUUAUCUGUUUCAUAAAAUAUGAUGUUUUUAGUCUACCUCUUCCAGCUUUUCUUUUUAUCUUUCCUAACCUAACCUAGUCAUAAUAAAUCUAAUUAAUAAUUAUUAUAAUUUAAUUUAUAAUACUCAGCUUAAGAGAUUAAUUUCUACCUACUUUUUUUUCAUAUGGCAUAGGUUUCCAAUUCAACAGAUGCACAGAAUUCAUUAGAAAAUCGCCUUUUAAGUUUAAUAGGAGAGCCAGAGAAUACAUUGUGUGUAAGUAACCGUUGUACUAAAAUUUUCUUUAAAAUUAUUACAAUAAUUACUUAUCUAUAUUUAUUCAUAGAUAUAUUUUUUUUUUAUUGUUCUUUUUCUUUAGUCAUUUUUUUUAUUGUAGAUUUAAAAUUAUAAAUAUGUUUGAUGUAGGACUUAGAUAUUUUUAAUUUCUCGAAGAAAACAAUUUAAAUAGAAAAUAUCUUUAAAUUUUAUUAUACCUAUAAUUAAUGUUUAAAUAAAAAUAGAUACCUACUUAUAAUACAAAAUGGACAGAGAGAACCAUAUAAGAAAAAUAUAAUUUUAAGUAGCUAUAAUACUUUAACCCCUGCUACUAAGGUAUCUACAUGAAAUAAUUUAGGUAUAUUAAUAGGUAGGUAAAUAUAGUUACUUAGAUAUCAAAUAGAUUUCCAAUUCUUUAAUUUAACUGGAAAAGUAAAUUUCAAUAUCUAAUAUAUACUUAUUUAAUUAAGUAUAAAAUUUACAGAAAAAAGAAAUUAAGUUUAUAAUGAAAUUCACUUUCUAAUUAAAUUUAAAAAUUUGAAAUCUGUUUAAUACCUACGUAUUUAAAAUUAUAUUGUAUGUUGUCUAUAAAAAAUAUAUACCAUAUUAUUUACUAUUUAGUAAAUAUUUAUUUUUAAUCAUUUUGAGAUAUACAAUUUAAUAGUUAAUAGAAUAAUAUGAAAUUUACAUUUUUUAGGAAAAAAAUGCAAAUGAAAAUGAUAAACCAUCCUUGGAGGAUUAUAUUGCUUCAAAAAUAUUGCGUCCUUCAGAUGCAAUGAAUACACACAAAUAUUCAGAAAUGAUCUCUUUGAUUAAACGACUCGUGGAAAUCGAUCCCAAUGCAAAUGGACAUAUCAGAAAAUACAAUAAUGCUGUAUCUACUGCAGGUAUUUUCCCUUCCAAUCUAAUUGAAAGUGUUGAAUCAACUCAAAUGGAACUUUAGAUAAUUAUUUUAUUUAUUUAACAUACAAAAUACAUUUUUCUUUGUUAAAUAUUAAACUAAUUCCACUACACUACUUUUUAAUUUAUAUUCAAUAGAAAUGGUACACAAAAGUCUUCAGCAUUUUUAUAAAGUUGAUAAUUUUAUUUUAGAUUUAUUAUGAUAAUUUUAUUUAUAUAUUUAUAUUAAAAUCUAUAAAAAAAUAUAUUUAUGAAAAAUAG